Molecule: ribosomal RNA, 1261 nt
Filed under: Phytophthora lateralis
Lineage: Eukaryota; Oomycota; Peronosporomycetes; Peronosporales; Peronosporaceae
Description: partial 28S large subunit ribosomal RNA
Rfam family: Eukaryotic large subunit ribosomal RNA
Source: RNAcentral
CUACAGGAUUCCCCUAGUAACGGCGAGUGAAGCGGGAUGAGCUCAAGCUUAAAAUCUCCGUGCAAGUUUUGCACGGCGAAUUGUAGUCUAUAGAGGCGUGGUCAGUGAGGGCGCUCGGGGCAAGUUCCUUGGAAGAGGACAGCAUGGAGGGUGAUACUCCCGUUCAUCCCUGAGUGGCUUUUGCGUACGACCCGUGUUCUUUGAGUCGCGUUGUUUGGGAAUGCAGCGCAAAGUAGGUGGUAAAUUCCAUCUAAAGCUAAAUAUUGGUGCGAGACCGAUAGCGAACAAGUACCGUGAGGGAAAGAUGAAAAGAACUUUGAAAAGAGAGUUAAAGAGUACCUGAAACUGCUGAAAGGGAACCGAAUCGUUUCCAGUGUCUAUAAUCCGUGGCAUAUUUCAUUGGCGAGUGUGUGCGUGCGUGUGCUGUGGCAGUGGCUUUUUUGGCUGCGCUCGGCGUGUGUGCUGUGUGUGCUUGUUGGUGCCCUGUGGUGCGGUGGGACGUCAAGGUCAGUUCGUAUGCUGCGGGAAAUGGCUGCCGAGGAGGUAGGGCUUACGCUCCGCGUUUGUCUGUUAUAUCUUGGUGGACGAGUAGUCGCGGUUGGGACUGAGGUGCCUACAACGUGCUUUUGAGUGUGUAUGGGUCUCCGUGUGCGCCGUGUGCGGAUAGCUUGCUAUGCGUGUGUGGUUGUGUGUGGAUUGAUGCGUACUGUAACUUGUCGCCGUUCGGGACGUUGACGAAAUGGAGCGAUCCGACCCGUCUUGAAACACGGACCAAGGAGUCUAACAUGUGUGCAAGUGUUAGGGUGUGGAAACCCCAGCGCGAAAUGAAAGUAAAGGGCAGCGCAAGCUGUCUGAGGUAGGAAACGUUGCGGGCUUCGGCCUGCGGCGUGGCACUAUCGACCGAUCAUGAGCCUUCGUGGUGAAAGAUUUGAGUUUGAGCACAUAUGUUGGUACCCGAAAGAUGGUGAACUAUGCCUGAGUAGGGUGAAGCCAGGGGAAACUCUGGUGGAAGCUCGUAGCGAUUCUGACGUGCAAAUCGAUCGUCAAACUUGGGUAUAGGGGCGAAAGACUAAUCGAACCAUCUAGUAGCUGGUUCCCUCCGAAAUUUCCCUCAGGAUAGCAGCAACUUAUUUACGAUAGUUUUAUGAGGUAAAGCGAAUGAUUAGAGGAUUCGGGGAAGAAACUUUCUCGACCUAUUCUCAAACUUUAAAUCUGUAAGACCUGCAGGUUUCUUAAUUGAACUUGUGGAUGUGAAUAUCAA